UGUGGUCUAGUGGUUAGGAUUCGUGGUUUUCACCCACGCGGCCCGGGUCCGAUUCCCGGCA
This is a non-coding RNA of Strongyloides papillosus, 61 nucleotides long. NCBI's taxonomy places the organism in Eukaryota, Metazoa, Nematoda, Chromadorea, Rhabditida, Strongyloididae. The record is from Rfam.